This 425-nucleotide ribosomal RNA is filed under the name uncultured bacterium. RNAcentral describes it as "partial 16S ribosomal RNA". It matches the Rfam family "Bacterial small subunit ribosomal RNA", at positions 360 to 776 of the family's 1533-position model. The record is from RNAcentral.
AAUCUUGGACAAUGGGCGCAAGCCUGAUCCAGCCAUGCCGCGUGUGUGAAGAAGGCCNNNUGGUUNUNAAGCACAUUAAGCGGNUANNAGGCUACUGUAGUUAAUACCUAGAGAUAGUGGACGUUACUCGCAGAAUAAGCACCGGCUAACUCUGUGCGAGCAGCCGCGGUAAUACAGAGGGUGCAUACGUUAAUCGGAUUUACUGGGCGUAAAGCGCGCGUAGGCGGCUAAUUAAGUCAAAUGUGAAAUCCCCGAGCUUAACUUGGGAAUUGCAUUCGAUACUGGUUAGCUAGAGUGUGGGAGAGGAUGGUAGAAUUCCAGGUGUAGCGGUGAAAUGCGUAGAGAUCUGGAGGAAUACCGAUGGAGAAGGCAGCCAUCUGGCCUAACACUGACGCUGAGGUGCGAAAGCAUGGGGAGCAAACAGG